GUACUUGCUGACAGGGGAGAUUCCAUGAUUACAGAGGUAGUUUUCCCAGUGCAGGGCUUAUCCAUUGCAAUUAGGAUGUGCUGACCCUUGUAAUUUCCCCAAAUGUGGGAAACCUGACCGCAUAAUUUGUGAGUAGAAACCACUUCUUUGUAUGCACGUUUG
Small nuclear RNA from Phyllostomus hastatus (greater spear-nosed bat), 162 nucleotides. RefSeq annotates it as U1 spliceosomal RNA. The record is from RefSeq and is a predicted model, not a curated record. NCBI's taxonomy places the organism in Eukaryota, Metazoa, Chordata, Mammalia, Chiroptera, Phyllostomidae. The transcript has a single exon.